CCUACGGGAGGCAGCAGUAAGGAAUAUUGGUCAAUGGACGCAAGUCUGAACCAGCCAUGCCGCGUGCAGGAUGAAGGCCCUCUGGGUUGUAAACUGCUUUUAUAGGGGACGAAAAAGGGACUUUCUAGUUCAACUGACGGUACCCUAGGAAUAAGCACCGGCUAACUCCGUGCCAGCAGCCGCGGUAAUACGGAGGGUGCAAGCGUUAUCCGGAUUUACUGGGUUUAAAGGGUGCGUAGGUGGGUCGGUAAGUCAGCGGUGAAAUCUUCGAGCUUAACUCGGAAACUGCCAUUGAUACUAUCGAUCUUGAAUCAUCUGGAGGUAAGCGGAAUAUGUCAUGUAGCGGUGAAAUGCUUAGAUAUGACAUAGAACACCAAUUGCGAAGGCAGCUUACUACGGAUGUAUUGACACUGAGGCACGAAAGCGUGGGGAUCAAACAGGAUUAGAUACCCUGGUAGUCCACGCCCUAAACGAUGGAUACUCGACAUACGUGAUAUACUAUGUGUGUCUGAGCGAAAGCAUUAAGUAUCCCACCUGGGAAGUACGAUCGCAAGAUUGAAACUCAAAGGAAUUGACGG
Molecule: ribosomal RNA, 578 nt
Filed under: uncultured bacterium
Lineage: Bacteria
Description: bacterial SSU rRNA
Rfam family: Bacterial small subunit ribosomal RNA
Source: RNAcentral